Molecule: ribosomal RNA, 466 nt
Filed under: uncultured bacterium
Lineage: Bacteria
Description: partial 16S ribosomal RNA
Rfam family: Bacterial small subunit ribosomal RNA
Source: RNAcentral
GACGAACGCUGGCGGCGUGCUUAACACAUGCAAGUCGAACGGAAAGGCCCUGCUUGCAGGGUACUCGAGUGGCGAACGGGUGAGUAACACGUGGGUGAUCUGCCCUGCACUUCGGGAUAAGCUUGGGAAACUGGGUCUAAUACCGGAUAGGAGCCAUCUUUAGUGUGGUGGUUGGAAAGUUUUUUCGGUGUAGGAUGAGCUCGCGGCCUAUCAGCUUGUUGGUGGGGUAAUGGCCUACCAAGGCGGCGACGGGUAGCCGGCCUGAGAGGGUGUACGGCCACAUUGGGACUGAGAUACGGCCCAGACUCCUACGGGAGGCAGCAGUGGGGAAUAUUGCACAAUGAGCGCAAGCCUGAUGCAGCGACGCCGCGUGGGGGAUGAAGGCCUUCGGGUUGUAAACUCCUUUCGCUAGGGACGAAGCUUUUUUGUGACGGUACCUAGAUAAGAAGCACCGGCUAACUACGUG